This 253-nucleotide ribosomal RNA is filed under the name uncultured bacterium. RNAcentral's name for it is "partial 16S ribosomal RNA". It matches the Rfam family "Bacterial small subunit ribosomal RNA", at positions 524 to 776 of the family's 1533-position model. The record is from RNAcentral.
UACGGGGGGGGCAAGCGUUGUUCGGAAUUACUGGGCGUAAAGGGUUUGUAGGUGGCCGGCUAAGUCAGACGUGAAAUCCCUCAGCUUAACUGGGGAACUGCGUCUGAAACUGAUCGGCUCGAGUGCAGGAGAGGAACGCGGAAUUCCAGGUGUAGCGGUGAAAUGCGUAGAUAUCGGAAGGAACAUCAGUGGCGAAAGCGACUGCCUGGACCAAUACUGACGCUCAUGUGCGAAAGCGUGGGGAGCAAACAGG